CCUACGGGAGGCAGCAGUAGGGAAUAUUGCUCAAUGGGGGAAACCCUGAAGCAGCAACGCCGCGUGGAGGAUGAAGGUUUUCGGAUUGUAAACUCCUUUUGUUAGAGAAGAUAAUGACGGUAUCUAACGAAUAAGCACCGGCUAACUCCGUGCCAGCAGCCGCGGUAAUACGGAGGGUGCAAGCGUUACUCGGAAUCACUGGGCGUAAAGAGGGCGUAGGCGGGAUAGCAAGUCAGAUGUGAAAUCCUAUGGCUUAACCAUAGAACUGCAUUGGAAACUGUUAUUCUAGAGUAUGGGAGAGGUAGGUGGAAUUGUUGGGGUAGGGGUAAAAUCCGUAGAGAUCAAGAGGAAUACUCAGUGCGAAGGCGACCUGCUAGAACAUAACUGACGCUGAUGCGCGAAAGCGUGGGGAGCAAACAGGAUUAGAUCCCCUGGUAGUC
Molecule: ribosomal RNA, 440 nt
Filed under: uncultured bacterium
Lineage: Bacteria
Description: partial 16S ribosomal RNA
Rfam family: Bacterial small subunit ribosomal RNA
Source: RNAcentral